UUGAGGUCGGAUGGAGCGAGAACAGAAUCUUCUUGAACAGCCUUUCUUGGUUUGAGGUUUAAUCGCUCGCUCAGAGGCAUCACCUGCUAUCAGAGUAGACUGACGAGUCGGAGGGUUCCUCAAACCAGCUGGAAGAUGAAAGAGUGAAUACCUCAAGGACCAGAGCCCUUUCCUUGAAUGAAGGAGCCCUUGGAGGGAAGCCCUGGUGAGAAGAGGUCUUGGAUUACCCAGGGUCGGAGCUAUUAUGGUAUGGAGAGAGGUGUAGCUGAAACAGAGGAUAUCUGAAAUAUGUCAAGGUCAUAAAGCUAAGCCAGACUUUUCAAUGAUCAUCAUCAUCUUUAUCAUAUAAUCAAGUGUCUAUCUUCAUUCCUUGAAAAUGAUAAAAUGCCUUUCCUAUAUGUAACAUUGUCCCAAUAUGUUGUGCACAUUAAAUGUAUAUAUAAACAUGGAAUUUUUAAGAAAAUGAGAAUAAAAUUUCAUAAAUAAUAAUUUAAAUACUUAUACUUCAUACAUUAAAGAUUCAAGUCAUAUCAAUAACAUUCUCUGAAAAGAGCAGUAUGAUUAAAUAUGCUUCAUUGAUUUUGAAAAAGAAAGCUUAAUGAUCUGAUCUAAACAAGUUAACAUCUAAAGGUGGGUAAGUAUCGAUAUUCAGUUUUAAUAUCUACAUUGCUUAGCUGUUCUGUUUUUUGAUUAGUGUAAUUCCUUCUUUCUUUCCUGAUGUCCUUGUUCUUGUAAAUUUUGUGAAUUAGAAAUUUUAUAUAUAUAUAUGUAUAUAUAUAUGUGUGUGUGUGUGUGCACGCGUGUGUGUGUCUGUGUAUAAAACCUUAAACUAAUGGCUUCAAACCUAUCAAAGUUUUCCAUUUAGUAGAUUUUCAAGCAGUUUAGAUAAGGUGGAUAGUUUUAAAAUGUGCAGGUGUGUAGAGACACACUUUGCCAUAUGAUCAUCAAUAAACCUCUGGAUAUCAAUAAAAUUCUUUCACAGCCACUUCCUCUCUGUGUAAAGUAUUGAAAUAUUCUAAAUGAUGUUAUAGUUAUUGUUUUUGUAACAUCAUCAGUUUGACUAUAUCUUAUACAGAUUUAUACUUUAUAUUAAUAUUUUUGUCAGGCUUUGGUGUAUUUCCUAUGAGGGCCUCACAAAAUAUAUUAAGGGAUAUUCCUAAUUUUUCUAUCUUAUGAAAGAGUUUGGAAAGAUUGGUGUUAUUUCUUCUAUGAAAGUAAGCCAUUGAGGGCAUUACACUAAGUGAAAUAAGUCAGCCAGAAAAGAAAUACAGGGUCAUAUUACUUAUAUGUGAAAUCAAAACAAAACAAAGUCAUAAAAGCAAAGAUUGGAAUGGUGGUUAGCAGGGGCUGGGAAGUUGAGAGAAAGGGGAAAUAUUGGUCAAAGAUUACAAGCUUCAGUUAUUUGUUGAAAGAAAUUCUGGGCAUCUAAUCUACAGCAUAGAGAUUCUGAUUAAUAAUACUGAGGUAAUAUACU
Molecule: long non-coding RNA, 1474 nt
Organism: Mustela erminea (ermine)
Lineage: Eukaryota; Metazoa; Chordata; Mammalia; Carnivora; Mustelidae
Exons: 3
Source: RefSeq, a predicted model, not a curated record